RNAcentral lists this ribosomal RNA (254 nucleotides) under uncultured bacterium. RNAcentral describes it as "partial 16S ribosomal RNA". It matches the Rfam family "Bacterial small subunit ribosomal RNA", at positions 524 to 776 of the family's 1533-position model. The record is from RNAcentral.
UACGAAGGGUGCAAGCGUUGUUCGGAAUUAUUGGGCGUAAAGCGCACGUAGGCGGCCUUGUAAGUCUCACUGUGAAAGUCCGGGGCUCAACCCCGGGAUGCCAGGGGAUACUGCGAGGCUGGAGACAAGCAGAGGUUGGUAGAAUUCCGCGUGUAGUGGUGAAAUGCGUAGAGAUGCGGAGGAAUACCAGUGGCGAAGGCGGCCUUCUGGGACUCAACUGACGCUGAAGCGCGAAAGCAUGGGGAGCGAACGGG